UACGUAGGGCGCAAGCGUUGUCCGGAAUUAUUGGGCGUAAAGAGCUCGUAGGCGGUUUGUCGCGUCUGCUGUGAAAGCCCGGGGCUCAACCCCGGGUCUGCAGUGGGUACGGGCAGACUAGAGUGUAGUAGGGGAGACUGGAAUUCCUGGUGUAGCGGUGAAAUGCGCAGAUAUCAGGAGGAACACCGGUGGCGAAGGCGGGUCUCUGGGCCAUUACUGACGCUGAGGAGCGAAAGCGUGGGGAGCGAACAGG
This 253-nucleotide ribosomal RNA is filed under the name uncultured bacterium. Its description in RNAcentral is "partial 16S ribosomal RNA". It matches the Rfam family "Bacterial small subunit ribosomal RNA", at positions 524 to 776 of the family's 1533-position model. The record is from RNAcentral.